ACGCUCGACACCUACGGGAGCAGCAGUCGGGAAUAUUGCGCAAUGGAGGAAACUCUGACGCAGUGACGCCGCGUGCAGGAAGAAGGUUUUCGGAUUGUAAACUGCUUUAGACAGGGAAGAAAAAGGACAGUACCUGUAGAAUAAGCUCCGGCUAACUACGUGCCUGCAGCCGCGGUAAUCUGAGCGGGCUGGCAAGGC
Molecule: ribosomal RNA, 198 nt
Filed under: uncultured bacterium
Lineage: Bacteria
Description: partial 16S ribosomal RNA
Rfam family: Bacterial small subunit ribosomal RNA
Source: RNAcentral